RNAcentral lists this ribosomal RNA (272 nucleotides) under uncultured bacterium. RNAcentral describes it as "partial 16S ribosomal RNA". It matches the Rfam family "Bacterial small subunit ribosomal RNA", at positions 333 to 620 of the family's 1533-position model. The record is from RNAcentral.
CGAAACCUACGGGGCGCAGCAGUGGGGAAUAUUGCACAAUGGGCGAAAGCCUGAUGCAGCAACGCCGCGUGAAGGAAGAAGGCCUUCGGGUCGUAAACUUCUGUCCUUGGGGAAGAAGAACUGACGGUACCCAAGGAGGAAGCCCCGGCUAACUACGUGCCAGCAGCCGCGGUAAUACGUAGGGGGCAAGCGUUAUCCGGAAUUAUUGGGCGUAACGAGUAUGUAGGUGGCAACCUAAGCGCAGGGUUUAAGGCAAUGGCUCAACCAUAGUU